ACGCCUCAACUCUCAUGGCUUGCCAUGAUGAGCUUGGACUUUGGGGGUCUUGCUGGCCUGUGGUCAGCUCCUCUCAAAUGAAUCAGCUUGCCAGUGUUUGGUGGCAUCACAGGUGUGAUAACUAUCUACGCUUGUUGUUUUCCACCAGGUAACCUCCAGCAAUGGAGGUUCGCUGGAGCUCAUAAACGUCUCUCUUUGGUGGGGACAGCUCCUGAAC
Molecule: unclassified non-coding RNA, 217 nt
Filed under: uncultured Thelephoraceae
Lineage: Eukaryota; Fungi; Basidiomycota; Agaricomycetes; Thelephorales; Thelephoraceae
Description: sequence contains ITS2
Source: RNAcentral